AAGUCUCAGAGGCUGGAGAGCAGAGCACCAAGAUCGUUCUGGCAGGAACAGCCAGUGGGAGGUUCCAGCUGAGCGCUCCCCAGAGGUGAGCUGACCCCCAGCCACAGCACACAGGACCAGGCUGCGAGAACAGCAUCAUCAGCAUCAUGCUAUUACAAUCCCAAACCAUGGCGGUUUCUCACAGCUUUACACCAAAGGGCAUCACUAUCCCUCAAAGAGAGAAACCUGGACACAUGUACCAAAACGAAGAUUACCUGCAGAACGGGCUGCCAACAGAAACCACCGUUCUUGGGUUUGGCAUUACUGGAUCCCUCUCAAUUAUCUCUGGAAAACAAUCAACUAAGCCCUUUGACCUGAGCAGCUUGACCUCAAAUGCAGUGAGUUCUGUUACUGCAGGAGCAGGCCUCUUCCUCCUUGCUGACAGCAUGGUAGCCCUGAGGACUGCCUCUCAACAUUGUGGCUCAGAAACGGAUUAUCUAUCCUCAUUGCCUUAUUCGGAGUACUAUUAUCCAAUAUAUGAAAUCAAAGAUUGUCUCCUGACCAGUGUCAGUUUAACAGUGAGUAGUUUCAGACUGAAUAUCCUGUCAUGUGAAAUCUCUGUGUCUCCCCUUUGCAUACUCUCUGCUUUUCUGGCAGUCUCUGGUUGGUCGGUCCGAAUGCCUGGAGACAGACAGAAAAAAACAAAAACCUGUGGUUGGAAGAGGCCUGUCUGCUGACUGCAUGGUGUGGGGGAUGUAUUAUAGAAAGUCAAAAGAGGAAAUCAAGAAGGACAGUAGGGAGUCUAUCCCUCCACUGGUCUUUCUUAAUCACAAACAUUCCAACCUUAAUGGGUUUAACUCUUAAAGUACAACCUUUGUUGUACUCAUCACAGGCAGAAAUAUUCUUCCUACUCAUCACAGGCAGAAAUAUUCUUCAUUUGAAUUAUAUUUUAAUUUGGGAUUCUUUU
This 946-nucleotide small RNA is filed under the name Pan troglodytes (chimpanzee). RNAcentral describes it as "retained intron". The record is from RNAcentral. Lineage: Eukaryota; Metazoa; Chordata; Mammalia; Primates; Hominidae.